This 255-nucleotide ribosomal RNA is filed under the name Enterobacter sp. RNAcentral's name for it is "partial 16S ribosomal RNA". It matches the Rfam family "Bacterial small subunit ribosomal RNA", at positions 60 to 310 of the family's 1533-position model. The record is from RNAcentral. Lineage: Bacteria; Pseudomonadati; Pseudomonadota; Gammaproteobacteria; Enterobacterales; Enterobacteriaceae.
UGCAGUCGAACGGUAGCACAGAGAGCUUGCUCUCGGGUGACGAGUGGCGGACNNNNNNNUAAUGUCUGGGAAACUGCCUGAUGGAGGGGGAUAACUACUGGAAACGGUAGCUAAUACCGCAUAACGUCGCAAGACCAAAGAGGGGGACCUUCGGGCCUCUUGCCAUCAGAUGUGCCCAGAUGGGAUUAGCUAGUAGGUGGGGUAAUGGCUCACCUAGGCGACGAUCCCUAGCUGGUCUGAGAGGAUGACCAGCCA